Molecule: ribosomal RNA, 425 nt
Filed under: uncultured bacterium
Lineage: Bacteria
Description: partial 16S ribosomal RNA
Rfam family: Bacterial small subunit ribosomal RNA
Source: RNAcentral
GUGGGGAAUAUUGGACAAUGGGCGCAAGCCUGAUCCAGCCAUGCCGCGUGAGUGAUGAAGGCCUUAGGGUUGUAAAGCUCUUUCAGUGGGGACGAUAAUGACGGUACCCACAGAAGAAGACCCGGCUAACUUCGUGCCAGCAGCCGCGGUAAUACGAAGGGGGCUAGCGUUGUUCGGAUUUACUGGGCGUAAAGCGCACGUAGGCGGAUCGUUAAGUCGGGGGUGAAAUCCUGGAGCUCAACUCCAGAACUGCCUUCGAUACUGGCGAUCUUGAGUCCGGAAGAGGUGAGUGGAACUCCUAGUGUAGAGGUGGAAUUCGUAGAUAUUAGGAAGAACACCAGUGGCGAAGGCGGCUCACUGGUCCGGUACUGACGCUGAGGUGCGAAAGCGUGGGGAGCAAACAGGAUUAGAUACCCGAGUAGUCC